CCUACGGGGGGCAGCAGUGAGGAAUAUUGGUCAAUGGCCGCAGGGCUGAACCAGCCAAGUCGCGUGAGGGAUGACGGUCCUAUGGAUUGUAAACCUCUUUUGUCAGGGAGCAAAGGGCGCCACGUGUGGCGCUUUGCGAGUACCUGAAGAAAAAGCAUCGGCUAACUCCGUGCCAGCAGCCGCGGUAAUACGGAGGAUGCGAGCGUUAUCCGGAUUUAUUGGGUUUAAAGGGUGUGCAGGCGGAAUGUCAAGUCAGCGGUAAAAUUUCGGGGCUCAACCCCGUCGUGCCGUUGAAACUGGCGUUCUUGAGUGAGCGAGAAGUAUGCGGAAGGCGUGGUGUAGCGGUGAAAUGCAUAGAUAUCACGCAGAACUCCGAUUGCGAAGGCAGCAUACCGGCGCUCAACUGACGCUCAUGCACGAAAGCGUGGGUAUCGAACAGGAUUAGAUACCCCAGUAGUC
RNAcentral lists this ribosomal RNA (459 nucleotides) under uncultured bacterium. RNAcentral's name for it is "partial 16S ribosomal RNA". It matches the Rfam family "Bacterial small subunit ribosomal RNA", at positions 338 to 795 of the family's 1533-position model. The record is from RNAcentral.